GAAGUGCGAAAAGUGUCAUGACUUGCAGAUUCCCGAGAGCUGACGAAUUUCUGAAUGCGAAAGGCGGCCGUCCACAACGGCCAUGUAUUGCAGAGUGUAGUUGUUCAUACACACCAUCCGCUUUUCUUGACUUGUCUUGAGAAGCAAGGGAUCUGCGCUUGCUGCCGACAGCGAGCGUGAAAGUACGAGCGAAACUACCGCUUACAAGGGACUCCUCUAGGGCAGUGAGGGAGCAAUCUCUCACGCACUAGAGAAGGACUUCGGACCCAUCAUAGUCUAGAAGGACUUGAAGAGCGGAGCUCGGGGUGAGGUAACACUCACAACUUUCUAAGCAGCCACCUCUGCGAUGCAGGAAAACCCGCUGAACUUAA
RNAcentral lists this unclassified non-coding RNA (371 nucleotides) under uncultured fungus. Its description in RNAcentral is "sequence contains ITS1". The stretch from base 1 to 100 matches the Rfam family "5.8S ribosomal RNA", at positions 50 to 154 of the family's 154-position model. Lineage: Eukaryota; Fungi. The record is from RNAcentral.